AUUUUUUGACUGGCUGUAUUUUAUUUUUGACAGAUUCUCAGUUAAGGAGUGUGCUUCUGCUAGCAUGGUUUGCUGAGGCUUAUGGAACAACAAAAAUGUUGUGGUUUGGAAGAACAAGUUCUAAUCAGCCGAAGCAUUAAUGAAUGGUGUCACAAAUUUUCUCCAUCAAUGGUAGGACGCUAGGAGCAAGAAUGCAGCAAAAAUCAACUCUUCUGCCC
Molecule: long non-coding RNA, 218 nt
Filed under: Ricinus communis (castor bean)
Lineage: Eukaryota; Viridiplantae; Streptophyta; Magnoliopsida; Malpighiales; Euphorbiaceae
Description: long non-coding RNA (RCOM_LNC003371)
Source: RNAcentral